GAGGAAUAUUGGUCAAUGGACGGAAGUCUGAACCAGCCAAGUAGCGUGCAGGAUGACGGCCCUAUGGGUUGUAAACUGCUUUUGUAUGGGGAUAAAGUUAGGGACGUGUCCCUAUUUGCAGGUACCAUACGAAUAAGGACCGGCUAAUUCCGUGCCAGCAGCCGCGGUAAUACGGAAGGUCCAGGCGUUAUCCGGAUUUAUUGGGUUUAAAGGGAGCGUAGGCUGGAGAUUAAGUGUGUUGUGAAAUGUAGACGCUCAACGUCUGAAUUGCAGCGCAUACUGGUUUCCUUGAGUACGCACAACGUUGGCGGAAUUCGUCGUGUAGCGGUGAAAUGCUUAGAUAUGACGAAGAACUCCGAUUGCGAAGGCAGCUGACGGGAGCGCAACUGACGCUUAAGCUCGAAGGUACGGGUAUCAAACAGGAUUAGAUACCCUGGUAGUCCGCACAGUAAACGAUGGAUGCCCGCUGUUGGUACCUGGUAUCAGCGGCUAAGCGAAAGCAUUAAGCAUCCCACCUGGGGAGUACGCCGGCAACGGUG
Molecule: ribosomal RNA, 539 nt
Filed under: uncultured bacterium
Lineage: Bacteria
Description: bacterial SSU rRNA
Rfam family: Bacterial small subunit ribosomal RNA
Source: RNAcentral